Molecule: ribosomal RNA, 415 nt
Filed under: uncultured microorganism
Description: bacterial SSU rRNA
Rfam family: Archaeal small subunit ribosomal RNA
Source: RNAcentral
GCGCAGCAGGCGCGAAACCUUCGCAAUGCGGGAAACCGCGACGAGGGGACUCCCAGUGCCUACGCUCAGCGUAGGCUGUUCCCGAGCCUAGAAAGCUCGGGGAGUAAGGGCUGGGUAAGACGGGUGCCAGCCGCCGCGGUAAUACCCGCAGCCCGAGUGGUGGCCACUAUUAUUGGGCCUAAAGCGUCCGUAGCCGGCCCGGUAAAUGCCUGGGGUAAAUCGUGAGGCCUAACCUCACGAAUUCCGGGUAGACUGCCGGGCUAGGGACCGGAGGAGGGAGAGGGGUACUCCAGGGGUAGGGGUGAAAUCCUGUAAUCCCUGGAGGACCACCGGUGGCGAAGGCGCUCUCCUAGGACGGGUCCGACGGUGAGGGACGAAAGCCAGGGGAGCGAACCGGAUUAGAUACCCGUGUAGU